This 980-nucleotide long non-coding RNA is filed under the name Mus spicilegus (steppe mouse). RNAcentral's name for it is "lncRNA (ENSMSIG00000019617.1)". The record is from RNAcentral. Lineage: Eukaryota; Metazoa; Chordata; Mammalia; Rodentia; Muridae.
CAAGAAUCCUGUAUAUAAUUAGCUAACUAGAUUGGGAAGUGACCCCCUGCCAACAGUUGUCUGGACUCUGAAUUUAUUGACCUUGUUACUCUUGUUGUUUCCAACAUGGAAGGGGAAUAAACUGGACUGAAGGACCUUUGGUGAUCUCGCUCCUUUGCUCCUUGGACCUGGAAUUAAUCUAAAAGUCCAAGAAAGCAUCUGGUUCUGCAAAGAUACAGAAGCCAACAGUUGCCCGUCACUGCUCCUAAUCGUGUUUGCCAGUUCCAGGUGGUGUGAACUUCUCCUGGGACCAUCUGUCCCUCCCAGCAGCUCCAGAGCCACACUGCCUUGGAAGACCCGACAGACAGAUUGCUCCACCUUGACUCUUCUUUCCACAGUGUCUUCAGCAUCUCUGUUCCUCCCAUUCCCACUCCAUUUCUUCUAUCUCUCCCCAUGCAAGAGUGGAUCAGCUGCCUCCUGGGCCAGUAGGGUCCUUUGCAGGUGGCCAACCAAGAGAAAGAGGAAGUGGCUCUUGGAAUCACAGACCCAGGCUGGGAAGAGUUUGUGUGAUGCAGUGGCCACCCCCUAAGAGCUGCAGUGAUCCUCUCUGAGCCCUUCAGAAAGCGCUAUGACCACAAAAAGAAGAAAGGACAGCAGGUCUACACCCUGGGUCUGGUUUUAAUCAGAGCACAUCUUUAUGAGACAACAUAAGGCUGAAGAGUUUUUUUAGCUGAUAGUUCCAAAGAAAAAUACUGUUAAAAAGUGAAACUAACCAAUGAACCUGAGAUGACAGAUGAGAAAAAGACCCACACUGCACACAGAGAAGUAGGAAAUUCCAGGGCGUUUCACAGGAGGCAGAUGAGUGGCUGGGCUACUCUCAGGAUGGUGGAAAUUCUGCUUUUGCUGAACAACUGAAAUUCAGUUUGGAGGAGUAAAGAGGAGAUGUAACAUGUCCACACCUAUGGAGUUAAGAUGUCUGUCUGUCCCAUGACCCAUCUGCC